Molecule: ribosomal RNA, 422 nt
Filed under: uncultured bacterium
Lineage: Bacteria
Description: bacterial SSU rRNA
Rfam family: Bacterial small subunit ribosomal RNA
Source: RNAcentral
UGGGGAAUAUUGGACAAUGGGGGCAACCCUGAUCCAGCCAUGCCGCGUGUGUGAAGAAGGCCUUUUGGUUGUAAAGCACUUUAAGCAGUGAAGAAGACUCCAUGGUUAAUACCCAUGGACGAUGACAUUAGCUGCAGAAUAAGCACCGGCUAACUCUGUGCCAGCAGCCGCGGUAAUACAGAGGGUGCAAGCGUUAAUCGGAAUUACUGGGCGUAAAGCGAGCGUAGGUGGCUUGAUAAGUCAGAUGUGAAAGCCCCGGGCUUAACCUGGGAAAGGCAUCAGAUACUGGUAGGCUAGAGUAGGUGAGAGGAAGGUAGAAUUCCAGGUGUAGCGGUGAAAUGCGUAGAGAUCUGGAGGAAUACCGAUGGCGAAGGCAGCCUUCUGGCAUCAUACUGGCACUGAGGUUCGAAAGCGUGGGUAGC